This 228-nucleotide ribosomal RNA is filed under the name uncultured bacterium. Its description in RNAcentral is "partial 16S ribosomal RNA". It matches the Rfam family "Bacterial small subunit ribosomal RNA", at positions 568 to 796 of the family's 1533-position model. The record is from RNAcentral.
UACGUAGGCGGAAAAUUAAGUCAGUAGUGAAAUCCUGCAGCUUAACUGUAGAACUGUUAUUGAUACUGGUUUUCUUGAAUAUAGUUGAGGUAGGCGGAAUGUGUAAUGUAGCGGUGAAAUGCUUAGAUAUUACACAGAACACCGAUUGCGAAGGCAGCUUACUAAGCUAUGAUUGACGCUGAGGUACGAAAGCGUGGGGAGCGAACAGGAUUAGAUACCCUGGUGUCC